CCAAUAGCGUAUAUUAAAGUUGUUGCAGUUAAAAAGCUCGUAGUUGAAUUUCGGGAUCAGUACGCCGGUCGUGCCUUCGGUAUGUACUGGUGUCACUGAUUCCUCCCUUCUGAAGAACCGUUAUGCCAUUCAUUUGGUGUGACGGGGAAUCAGGACUGUUACUUUGAAAAAAUUAGAGUGUUUAAAGCAGGCUCGCGCUUGAAUACAUUAGCAUGGAAUAAUGAAAUAGGACGUUUGAUCUUAUUUUGUUGGUUUCUAGGAUCGACGUAAUGAUUAAUAGGUGUAGUUGGGGGCAUUAGUAUUCAAUUGUCAGAGGUGAAAUUCUUGGAUUUAUUGAAGACUAACUACUGCGAAAGCAUUUGCCAAGGAUGUUUUCAUUAAUCAAGAACGAAAGUUAGGGGAUUGAAGACGAUCAGAUACCGUCGUAGUCUUAACCAUAAACUAUGCCGACUAGGGAUCGGAUGAUGUUAUUUUUAAUGACUCAUUCGGCGCCUUACG
Molecule: ribosomal RNA, 498 nt
Filed under: uncultured Glomeromycotina
Lineage: Eukaryota; Fungi; Glomeromycota
Description: partial small subunit ribosomal RNA
Rfam family: Eukaryotic small subunit ribosomal RNA
Source: RNAcentral